CGGGGGUUAGCUCAGACAGUGAACCAUCAGCAAGAACUAGAAGACCGAAGGGUCCCAACUUUCCCCUGCUGGCGGCGCCACCACUUGUGGUGCAGUUGUACCCCACGUCAGCCUCUACUGUCGCCUCCAAUGCCUCACUAUCCACUUCAAAUGAAGCAAUGAUGUCUAACUGCAAUAUUAUUCCGACAAAGACAGUCUCGUGUCAAUCAUGACUACUCUCUUCAUCAGCAACAAUAAAAAAUAUGCUUAUCCGAUCCAACACCAAGAAAUUCAUCUAGAAAGAAAAAGAAACAGUGAUGAUUGAAGAACAGACCUGCGUUGCUGAGCCAAUAUUUAGGGGCGCGAUGGAUCCUGGUUCCAGCUUGACGGUGUCAAAUUCAGUAGCAUUAAAUCUCAAGCUCUCCGCUUCUUCAACCGGCCAUUGAAGUAUAUUUGUUCCAGUCUUCUUGUCAAAAACCACCGUUCUUGGGAUUGUCUGUGCAACACAUCAAACCAGCUAUUACUAUUAGGCCUGGGAACCACACAGUCCGAUGCAUGGCAGUGUCAUUAUUAUUAUUAUUAUAUUAUCGUUUUCCGUGAUCACAUUUUCCUAUCACCUUUUUCUCUCACAUAUAUCAAAUCGUUACAGUAAUUUUUCCAUAAAAAAUGACAAAAAAUGUAAUCCAAACACAACCUUAAGUUCCAUCUGGGCAAUCCAUCCAAGCUUGGUAAUCAUUCUUUCUUUAACUAAAUUCUUUGUGGGCUACAUGGUAAUUAGUAGUAUAUUUUUUGGUGGAGUAGACAUUAAAGUUGUUUCCGUUCAAAAGGAACAAAAAAAAGACACGUAGAAUAUGGUACCAUAUCACUUCACAAUUAGAGAGGCCAUCUUGACGUGGUUCUCACACACCAAAUGAAUAGAAUAUUAUCAAAGAACUUGAAAUCAAAGUCAAGGCAAUGCAUUAUGCACUUGUGAAUGAGGAGAACAAUAAUACUAAUAAUAAUGAUGAUACCUGAACCGAUGCCCAUCCUUUCAUGAGGUCAGCAGCUUCGCUGUCAGUUUCUCCAAUCCAACCCCACAAAAUCCUCCUCUUCUUGUUCUGGUCGUAAAAUGUCUUUGACGCGUAAUACUUGCCAUAGUCCAGACGCAACCCGAUACCCACAUCCAGUUCCGGAUCGUCAGGGGUCCACUUAUUGUUUUUCGGAUCAUAGGUGCCCAGUGCGUAGUAAUCGUGCUUGUUCUCGUCCAAGCUUGCCUUCAGGACGUGCUUAGUGCCAGGCCCAUUAGCCGAUGUAUCCAGCCCAUUAUCCCCCGUGGUGGAAACCGGGUAGAAAUCCACGCACUCCCACAUGCCUGUGCGGGGAACGGCGUGUAAAACCCCAUCCAAGAGCCGGUAGCCCUUGAAGUCGCUGGUUUCAUAAACCAGGGCAAUGCCCGUUUUAUUGACCUUGGACCCGAGAGUAACCAACCACUUGGUCCCAUCGGGCGCCAGCCAGGCGGUGGUGGGGUCCCUAAAGUCCUUCUUGCCAAUGCCAGGUGGGGGGAUCAUGACCGGGUUACCCGGGUACUUGAUCCAGUCAAGGAGGAGAGGAUCGGAUAGGUUGGCGGGGUACGCAAGGUUUUGCACCUGCACCAGAUCAGCAGUGUCCCCAGUGUACAGGAUCACGAUUUGACCACCAGGAAGAAUGGUGGCUGAACCGGUCCAUACACCAUUGAUAUCGAACGGCCUAUCGGGGACCAUGGCGAAGGGCAGAUACAGCCAGUGAAUAAGGUCCCUUGAAACCGCAUGUCCCCAUGUGAUGUUUCCCCAGAUAGCUGAAUCCGGAUUGUAUUGGUAGAAAAGGUGGUACCAACCCAUGUGGAACAAUGGACCUGUACCAGCAUAGCUUUUUUUUUUUUUUUUUUUUAUCAAAACAUGCAUUGUCCCUGGAGACUCUUAUGAUUGUCAUCGUUCUAAAACAAGUUGAAACCACAUGCACUUUAUCAAGUACGAACAGAAUUGUUAUUAAGGGCUGUGAGGAAAGCCGCCUCGAUUUAUUACAGGGAUGGUCAGGUCUCAGAUCACGAUAUUCUUCCUUUCUUUUUGUUUUUUUUGGCCAAAUACGCUACAUUCUAUUUUAUACCUAUUCUUACUAUACUAUAUACUAGAAGGAGGGAGACCUAAAGGGAUCCGGGAAGAAUCUGAAAGGACUGAACCACCGUCGAUCUAAACGGAUGACUACACAUUCGUUAGGAAAUUCCAGAGAAUCCUGGAUUGAACGUAGACAAAGGGAUUUAAUCUCUUAUUAACCUACACCCUUAAGUAAAAUUUUAAGAUUCACUUGGUAACCAACUGCUCUAGAAGUAGUUGGUUAGAUUAAGAUAUUCCCCGAUCUUGUGGUUUUUGAAGCAGAAAUUAUACAGUAAGAGAAGUGUUGAGAAGGCAAGUUGGCAACUGCCCCGUCAUGGCUGUCAUCCGGGACGGUUGGACGAAUUCAAAGUUUCAUGCUGAUUUCUCCACCAAGAAAUACUACAAGAAUUAAUCUACAGCAUUUGCAUAAUAUUCAAGAAAGCAACAAUUCAUCCCAUGGAAAUUUCAGCCUCUCGUGGGAUGUGCGUGCAAGAAAUUGAAAAGUAUGUGUAGUUUUGCAUCCCAUAACUUUGGGGUCUAUCAAAUGCCACGUAGAAAUUCUGGUGAUUUUGAAAAUUUCAGACCCAAAAUGAACGAAAAGACGUGUGCAGCAGACUCGUCACAAUUGAUUUUGCAAAAUUGAACACGACUCUCUCCCAUCUUCCUAGUUGUUAUCCGAGUAGCUUCGUUGCAAUAAUUGGAUUGGGCACUUACAUAUUAAUGCAUUUAUCUGUUAGCUUCCAAUUUCAAUUUCACAAUCCAGAAGAAAGAAACUGAAACGGAAAAAAAAAAAUCCAAAACCACAGAGUAUUAUUCAGCCAAGGAUGGAGUCGAGGGAGGGACAAUUCUAUUUUGAGCCCUUUAUUUCAAUUAUUCCUUGAUAGAGAGAGAGAGUGAAAAGAACUUGUGGCCCUUAACAAUUUUCCUAUCGGCUCUAUCCAUUUUAUGUACUUCGACCUGGGUGUAUAAAAUCACUGGGCCAUUGGCUCAGUGACCAUCAGGGUUGACGAGGGUUUAAAUCUCAUCAGCAGCGAAAAAAAUUUAAGGGUUGUGCUAUAACACUUCCUUGAUCUAGUUGGAUCUGUAUACCCACUAGUCCCUUUCAUAGUCUCCUUAGGCUCCCUUCCCCCUAGAUUAUGAUAGAGUAAGUUAUACAAAUACAUCGUUGCUGAAAAAAAAAAAACUUGGGUGUAUAAAUUAUUAGGCACAACUACUUGGGAGUACUAUAGUAGUAGAAAUGUGGCUUUCCACGUUCCACAAUCUACAAAAAGCCAGAUGGACAAAUGCACAUGUGGCGUGUUGACCCACCCACAUGGAAAUGAGUAUUCGGAGAAAGAACCCUCCUUGAUUGGUCCACAACUCUCUUCCAAAACCCCAAAAAAAAAAAAAAAAAAGAAUUAACUAAUCCUCAAUCAACUACUACUAUAUAGGGCACUUUUACCACCACACAUUCGUUUGAAUCUUCCGAAUAAAGUACCCUACUAGCAAUAAUACGCCAACCAUCAAGAAGAAGUUGAAUUAUUACGAUUCUCCUACACAGACGGAAUCCCCAGACAGAAACCUAUACUUGCACGGCGGGAAUCCCAUGGUCAACUACAAUGCCUACGCAUGUUAGACAAAUUACUACGACAUUAAAACGAGAAAACACCCCAUGGGCUCCAAAAUUAUAGGAAUGUACAACUCUAAUCUAAACUAGACAAUUAGAGGAUGGAAAGUAUAUGCUUGCAAUUUGCAGUAUCAGAAGCAAAUGAAAGUGAUUGAGCAACGUACCAUUAGGAUCUAGAGUAGACGAAAUUUCCCCGCAAAGUUGUGUGUGUCAUCAAACCACCAACAGUGAAGGAAAAAAAAAAAAGAAGCUCGGAUUAGUAUGCAUGAAUGCAUCACAUACCUUAAAAUUCUACAAUGGUAAGGAAUUUUCAGAGAAAAGAGACGGGUUGGCUUUUGGAACCUGCAAGAUUGGAUUAUGACUCACCGUUCAUCCAGUUCUUCUCCGGCUGGAAAUGGUAGGAAGUUCUUUGCCAAGAUAGCAUAGCAUUGGUCCAAGGAUAGACAUCAUUCGCAUCAGAGACUCCCCGGAAAGUCUUCUCCGAGACUCCUUGAGGAACCCCUCUGGAAGCUGGAAUGAGAGAAUGAGGGGAGACAGGUGAGGAAGGGGAUGACUUGUUUAAAUUGGCAUUGAUCAUUUGAGAUUGAUCGCGAGGUUCUUCUUGUCCUUGGAAAAGGGUCAAGAUUAAGGUAAGCAGAAACAAUGAGGACAGGAAAAUGCCGGCCAGAACCUUAACGGGCCGUUGUCUACUUUGACCCGAGGACCGAGAAACCUCUGCUUCAUCGGAUUGCUCUAGCAAAGGAGCAUCGGAGACGGCAAGUUCAGGAUCAUAUGGCAGAGUAAGAGAACGAUUGGCGGCCAUUUUGGUAGAUGACGGUGGACGGAGAAGGGAAGGCUAGGCCGAAUGCUAGCUACAAAGGCGCUAUAUGGUAGACCACUACUCGACUAGCUAGUCGUACUACCAACAAUAUAUAUAUAUAUAUAGCAGUGGCAUUCGGGCUUUCAACGGGGGUGGUAAAAAAAAAAAAAAAAUUUAAAGGUGGAAUUCGGGCUCUCCAGGACUGGGGGCGGCCCCUGCUCAGCAGUUGGCAAUGUGUCUGCAUUUGAGUUUUCUUGCAUGAUGUGUGGUCCAACACGGAUUUUUCCAGAGCACUUUAUUGGUGGAGAGGGUUACGGGCCGGGUUCAACUUCUUCACCAGUUUUACUGUUUAAUAAAGUUUAAGCGAACAUUUUAUUCUUUUUUUGCCUUACGGAACUGCAAGUUAUUACGAUUAAAAACGUAAAAAAGAAAAUGCAGACAAAAAAAAAAGAAUAAAAUAGUUGUGUUUGAAUUGCAUUUUUCAUGAAAAAAUUACUGUAGCGAUUUGAUGUAUGCGAGGAAAAAAGAUAAUAGAGAAAUGUGAUCACGGAAAACGACGUAAUUUUUUGACGGAAAACAACAAUCAAAACAAGGCCAUGCCAAAGCUGAAAUUUUUUUUUUUUAAGGAAUAUACGUAUGUGGAAAAAUAAUCUUGCUAAGGUCCUUUUUAUUUGCAUUUAGGAAACUCCAUUUGUUGUUCCCCAGCAAUUCGACCCUAGAACUAGAUGCAAAUGAAGAUUGGUUCGAUUUCCUUUGUGUUUCAAAGGUAAAAGGGGGAAAAAAGGCGGCGUCAAGAGUGGAAAAUGUCUUAGCCAAAAAAAAAAAAAAAAAAGAGUAGAAAGUGAGGAAAAAGUCAAAACAAUGUAUAUUAAUAAACACUGGUCGAGGAAUAUUGAAUUACUCUUUUUAAAAGAAAAACCAAAAAGUACAUGAAUGUUGAACCAUACCGAUUCUGUAAUAUUAUUUUUAAUAACAUAAGUAAAAGAAUUUAAAUUCAAAAUUAUAUAUAUACAUAUUAUAUUCCAUCCCACCCUUCCUGAAUUUUGUGAUUGCAACACGUUAAAAAUUUUGCCGGUUUUAUUUGGUCAUCAUAUCUCUGUCUGACUACGGACAAAUCAGAAUUGGGCAAUGAGUUGGCAUUAUUGUAUUAUAGAAUCGUAUUCGUGUACCAAUCUUAGAAAGAAAAAGAAACAGUGAUGAUUGAAGAACAGACCUGCGUUGCUGAGCCAAUAUUUAGGGGCGCGAUGGAUCCUGGUUCCAGCUUGACGGUGUCAAAUUCAGUAGCAUUAAAUCUCAAGCUCUCCGCUUCUUCAACCGGCCAUUGAAGUAUAUUUGUUCCAGUCUUCUUGUCAAAAACCACCGUUCUUGGAUUGUCUGUGCAACACAUCAAACCAGCUAUUACUAUUAGGCCUGGGAACCACACAGUCCGAUGCAUGGCAGUGUCAUUAUUAUUAUUAUUAUAUUAUCGUUUUCCGUGAUCACAUUUUCCUAUCACCUUUUUCUCUCACAUAUAUCAAAUCGUUACAGUAAUUUUUCCAUAAAAAAUGACAAAAAAUGUAAUCCAAACACAACCUUAAGUUCCAUCUGGGCAAUCCAUCCAAGCUUGGUAAUCAUUCUUUCUUUAACUAAAUUCUUUGUGGGCUACAUGGUAAUUAGUAGUAUAUUUUUUGGUGGAGUAGACAUUAAAGUUGUUUCCGUUCAAAAGGAACAAAAAAAAGACACGUAGAAUAUGGUACCAUAUCACUUCACAAUUAGAGAGGCCAUCUUGACGUGGUUCUCACACACCAAAUGAAUAGAAUAUUAUCAAAGAACUUGAAAUCAAAGUCAAGGCAAUGCAUUAUGCACUUGUGAAUGAGGAGAACAAUAAUACUAAUAAUAAUGAUGAUACCUGAACCGAUGCCCAUCCUUUCAUGAGGUCAGCAGCUUCGCUGUCAGUUUCUCCAAUCCAACCCCACAAAAUCCUCCUCUUCUUGUUCUGGUCGUAAAAUGUCUUUGACGCGUAAUACUUGCCAUAGUCCAGACGCAACCCGAUACCCACAUCCAGUUCCGGAUCGUCAGGGGUCCACUUAUUGUUUUUCGGAUCAUAGGUGCCCAGUGCGUAGUAAUCGUGCUUGUUCUCGUCCAAGCUUGCCUUCAGGACGUGCUUAGUGCCAGGCCCAUUAGCCGAUGUAUCCAGCCCAUUAUCCCCCGUGGUGGAAACCGGGUAGAAAUCCACGCACUCCCACAUGCCUGUGCGGGGAACGGCGUGUAAAACCCCAUCCAAGAGCCGGUAGCCCUUGAAGUCGCUGGUUUCAUAAACCAGGGCAAUGCCCGUUUUAUUGACCUUGGACCCGAGAGUAACCAACCACUUGGUCCCAUCGGGCGCCAGCCAGGCGGUGGUGGGGUCCCUAAAGUCCUUCUUGCCAAUGCCAGGUGGGGGAUCAUGACCGGGUUACCCGGGUACUUGAUCCAGUCAAGGAGGAGAGGAUCGGAUAGGUUGGCGGGGUACGCAAGGUUUUGCACCUGCACCAGAUCAGCAGUGUCCCCAGUGUACAGGAUCACGAUUUGACCACCAGGAAGAAUGGUGGCUGAACCGGUCCAUACACCAUUGAUAUCGAAC
Molecule: long non-coding RNA, 7091 nt
Filed under: Coffea arabica (coffee)
Lineage: Eukaryota; Viridiplantae; Streptophyta; Magnoliopsida; Gentianales; Rubiaceae
Description: long non-coding RNA (CARA_LNC000876)
Source: RNAcentral